Molecule: unclassified non-coding RNA, 229 nt
Filed under: plant metagenome
Description: partial contains small subunit ribosomal RNA, internal transcribed spacer 1, and 5.8S ribosomal RNA
Source: RNAcentral
UCUCCGUAGGUGAACCUGCGGAGGGAUCAUUACAGAGUUCAUGCCCUACCGGGUAGAUCUCCCACCCUAUGUUAUUAUUACUUUGUUGCUUUGGCGGGCCGUUAGGCUCCGGCCCGACUACCGGCCCCGGCUGGUAGGCGCCCGCCAGAGGACCCAAAACCCUGAAUAUUAGUGUCGUCUGAGUACUAUAUAAUAGUUAAAACUUUCAACAACGGAUCUCUUGGUUCUG